This 253-nucleotide ribosomal RNA is filed under the name uncultured bacterium. Its description in RNAcentral is "partial 16S ribosomal RNA". It matches the Rfam family "Bacterial small subunit ribosomal RNA", at positions 524 to 776 of the family's 1533-position model. The record is from RNAcentral.
UACGUAGGGGGCUAGCGUUGUCCGGAUUUAUUGGGCGUAAAGAGCGUGUAGGCGGCCAUGUAGGUCCGGUGUGAAAACUCGAGGCUUAACCUCGAGAUGUCAUCGGAAACCAUUUGGCUAGAGUCCGGAAGAGGAGAGUGGAAUUCCUGGUGUAGCGGUGAAAUGCGCAGAUAUCAGGAAGAACACCCGUGGCGAAAGCGGCUCUCUGGAACGGUACUGACGCUGAGACGCGAAAGCGUGGGGAGCGAACAGG